GUAGGUGGCAAGCGUUGUCCGGAAUUAUUGGGGCGUAAAGCGCGCGCAGGCGGUUCUUUAAGUCUGAUGUGAAAGCCCACGGGCUCAACCGUGGAGGGUCACUGAAAACUGGAGAACUUGAGUACAGAAGAGGAAAGCGGAAUUCCACGUGUAGCGGUGAAAUGCGUAGAGAUGUGGAGGAACACCAGUGGCGAAGGCGGCUUUCUGGUCUGUAACUGACGCUGAGGCGCGAAAGCGUGGGGAGCAAACAGGAUUAGAUACCCUGGUAGUCCACGCCGUAAACGAUGAGUGCUAAGUGUUAGGGGGUUUCCGCCCCUUAGUGCUGCAGCUAACGCAUUAAGCACUCCGCCUGGGGAGUACGGCCGCAAAGGCUG
This 374-nucleotide ribosomal RNA is filed under the name uncultured organism. RNAcentral's name for it is "partial 16S ribosomal RNA". It matches the Rfam family "Bacterial small subunit ribosomal RNA", at positions 527 to 896 of the family's 1533-position model. The record is from RNAcentral.